CGGCCCAGACUCCUACGGGAGGCAGCAGUGGGGGAUAUUGCACAAUGGAGGAAACUCUGAUGCAGCGACGCCGCGUGAGGGAAGAAGGUCUUCGGAUUGUAAACCUCUGUCUUUGGGGACGAAUCNNUGACGGUNCCCAAGGAGGAAGCCACGGNUAANUACGUGCCNGCANCCGCGGUAA
Molecule: ribosomal RNA, 181 nt
Filed under: uncultured bacterium
Lineage: Bacteria
Description: partial 16S ribosomal RNA
Rfam family: Bacterial small subunit ribosomal RNA
Source: RNAcentral